AGAGUUUGAUCAUGGCUCAGAACGUACGCUGGCGGCACGCCUAACACAUGCAAGUCGAACGAAGUAGCAAUACUUAGUGGCAGACGGGUGAGUAACAUGUAGGUAUCUGCCCUUUGGCCUGGAAUAACACGAGGAAACUUGUGCUAAUACCGGAUAAGUCUUUACGGAGAAAGCUUUAUGCACCAUUGGAUGAGCCUGCACUUGAUUAGUUUGUUGGUGGGGUAAUGGCCUACCAAGACUGUGAUCAAUAGCUGAUUUGAGAGGAUGAUCAGCCACAUUGGGACUGAGACACGGCCCAAACUCCUACGGGAGGCAGCAGUGGGGAAUCUUGCACAAUGGAGGAAACUCUGAUGCAGCGAUGCCGCGUGAGUGAAGAAGGCCUUUGGGUUGUAAAGCUCUUUCGUCGGGGAAGAAAAUGACUGUACCCGAAUAAGAAGGUCCGGCUAACUUCGUGCCAGCAGCCGCGGUAAUACGAAGGGACCUAGCGUAGUUCGGAAUUACUGGGCUUAAAGAGUUCGUAGGUGGUUGAAAAAGUUAGUGGUGAAAUCCCAGAGCUUAACUCUGGAACUGCCAUUAAAACUUUUCAGCUAGAGUAUGAUAGAGGAAAGCAGAAUUUCUAGUGUAGAGGUGAAAUUCGUAGAUAUUAGAAAGAAUACCAAUUGCGAAGGCAGCUUUCUGGAUCAUUACUGACACUGAGGAACGAAAGCAUGGGUAGCGAAGAGGAUUAGAUACCCUCGUAGUCCAUGCCGUAAACGAUGUGUGUUAGACGUUGGAAAUUUAUUUUCAGUGUCGCAGGGAAACCGAUAAACACACCGCCUGGGGAGUACGACCGCAAGGUUAAAACUCAAAUGAAUUGACGGGGACCCGCACAAGUAGUGGAGCAUGUGGUUUAAUUCGAAGAUACGCGCAGAACCUUACCAACACUUGACAUGUUCGUCGCGACUCUAAGAGAUUAGAGUUUUCGGUUCGGCCGGACGAAACACAGGUGCUGCAUGGCUGUCGUCAGCUCGUGUCGUGAGAUGUUGGGUUAAGUCCCGCAACGAGCGCAACCCUCACUUUUAGUUGCCAUCAUUAAGUUGGGCACUCUGAAAGAACUGCCAGUGAUAAGCUGGAGGAAGGUGGGGAUGACGUCAAGUCCUCAUGGCCCUUACGUGUUGGGCUACACACGUGCUACAAUGGUAUCUACAACAGGAAGCAAGACUGCGAAGUUAAGCAAAUCCCUAAAAGAUACCUCAGUUCGGAUUGCACUCUGCAACUCGAGUGCAUGAAGCUGGAAUUACUAGUAAUCGUGGAUCAGCGUGCCACGGUGAAUGCGUUCCCGGGUCUUGUACACACCGCCCGUCACACCAUGGGAGUUGGUUCUACCUUAAGGCAAGGUUUCAAACCCUUGACCACGGUAUAGUCAGCGACUGGGGUGAAGUCGUAACAAGGUAACCGUA
Molecule: ribosomal RNA, 1439 nt
Filed under: uncultured bacterium
Lineage: Bacteria
Description: bacterial SSU rRNA
Rfam family: Bacterial small subunit ribosomal RNA
Source: RNAcentral